GGUUAAGCGACUAAGCGUACACGGUGGAUGCCCUGGCAGUCAGAGGCGAUGAAGGACGUGCUAAUCUGCGAUAAGCGUCGGUAAGGUGAUAUGAACCGUUAUAACCGGCGAUUUCCGAAUGGGGAAACCCAGUGUGUUUCGACACACUAUCAUUAACUGAAUCCAUAGGUUAAUGAGGCGAACCGGGGGAACUGAAACAUCUAAGUACCCCGAGGAAAAGAAAUCAACCGAGAUUCCCCCAGUAGCGGCGAGCGAACGGGGAGCAGCCCAGAGCCUGAAUCAGUGUGUGUGUUAGUGGAAGCGUCUGGAAAGGCGCGCGAUACAGGGUGACAGCCCCGUACACAAAAAUGCACAUGCUGUGAGCUCGAUGAGUAGGGCGGGACACGUGGUAUCCUGUCUGAAUAUGGGGGGACCAUCCUCCAAGGCUAAAUACUCCUGACUGACCGAUAGUGAACCAGUACCGUGAGGGAAAGGCGAAAAGAACCCCGGCGAGGGGAGUGAAAAAGAACCUGAAACCGUGUACGUACAAGCAGUGGGAGCACGCUUCGGCGUGUGACUGCGUACCUUUUGUAUAAUGGGUCAGCGACUUAUAUUCUGUAGCAAGGUUAACCGAAUAGGGGAGCCGAAGGGAAACCGAGUCUUAACUGGGCGUUAAGUUGCAGGGUAUAGACCCGAAACCCGGUGAUCUAGCCAUGGGCAGGUUGAAGGUUGGGUAACACUAACUGGAGGACCGAACCGACUAAUGUUGAAAAAUUAGCGGAUGACUUGUGGCUGGGGGUGAAAGGCCAAUCAAACCGGGAGAUAGCUGGUUCUCCCCGAAAGCUAUUUAGGUAGCGCCUCGUGAAUUCAUCUCCGGGGGUAGAGCACUGUUUCGGCAAGGGGGUCAUCCCGACUUACCAACCCGAUGCAAACUGCGAAUACCGGAGAAUGUUAUCACGGGAGACACACGGCGGGUGCUAACGUCCGUCGUGAAGAGGGAAACAACCCAGACCGCCAGCUAAGGUCCCAAAGUCAUGGUUAAGUGGGAAACGAUGUGGGAAGGCCCAGACAGCCAGGAUGUUGGCUUAGAAGCAGCCAUCAUUUAAAGAAAGCGUAAUAGCUCACUGGUCGAGUCGGCCUGCGCGGAAGAUGUAACGGGGCUAAACCAUGCACCGAAGCUGCGGCAGCGACGCUGAUGCGUUGUUGGGUAGGGGAGCGUUCUGUAAGCCUGCGAAGGUGUGCUGUGAGGCAUGCUGGAGGUAUCAGAAGUGCGAAUGCUGACAUAAGUAACGAUAAAGCGGGUGAAAAGCCCGCUCGCCGGAAGACCAAGGGUUCCUGUCCAACGUUAAUCGGGGCAGGGUGAGUCGACCCCUAAGGCGAGGCCGAAAGGCGUAGUCGAUGGGAAACAGGUUAAUAUUCCUGUACUUGGUGUUACUGCGAAGGGGGGACGGAGAAGGCUAUGUUGGCCGGGCGACGGUUGUCCCGGUUUAAGCGUGUAGGCUGGUUUUCCAGGCAAAUCCGGAAAAUCAAGGCUGAGGCGUGAUGACGAGGCACUACGGUGCUGAAGCAACAAAUGCCCUGCUUCCAGGAAAAGCCUCUAAGCAUCAGGUAACAUCAAAUCGUACCCCAAACCGACACAGGUGGUCAGGUAGAGAAUACCAAGGCGCUUGAGAGAACUCGGGUGAAGGAACUAGGCAAAAUGGUGCCGUAACUUCGGGAGAAGGCACGCUGAUAUGUAGGUGAAGUCCCUUGCGGAUGGAGCUGAAAUCAGUCGAAGAUACCAGCUGGCUGCAACUGUUUAUUAAAAACACAGCACUGUGCAAACACGAAAGUGGACGUAUACGGUGUGACGCCUGCCCGGUGCCGGAAGGUUAAUUGAUGGGGUCAGCGCAAGCGAAGCUCUUGAUCGAAGCCCCGGUAAACGGCGGCCGUAACUAUAACGGUCCUAAGGUAGCGAAAUUCCUUGUCGGGUAAGUUCCGACCUGCACGAAUGGCGUAAUGAUGGCCAGGCUGUCUCCACCCGAGACUCAGUGAAAUUGAACUCGCUGUGAAGAUGCAGUGUACCCGCGGCAAGACGGAAAGACCCCGUGAACCUUUACUAUAGCUUGACACUGAACAUUGAGCCUUGAUGUGUAGGAUAGGUGGGAGGCUUUGAAGUGUGGACGCCAGUCUGCAUGGAGCCGACCUUGAAAUACCACCCUUUAAUGUUUGAUGUUCUAACGUUGACCCGUGAUCCGGGUUGCGGACAGUGUCUGGUGGGUAGUUUGACUGGGGCGGUCUCCUCCUAAAGAGUAACGGAGGAGCACGAAGGUUGGCUAAUCCUGGUCGGACAUCAGGAGGUUAGUGCAAUGGCAUAAGCCAGCUUGACUGCGAGCGUGACGGCGCGAGCAGGUGCGAAAGCAGGUCAUAGUGAUCCGGUGGUUCUGAAUGGAAGGGCCAUCGCUCAACGGAUAAAAGGUACUCCGGGGAUAACAGGCUGAUACCGCCCAAGAGUUCAUAUCGACGGCGGUGUUUGGCACCUCGAUGUCGGCUCAUCACAUCCUGGGGCUGAAGUAGGUCCCAAGGGUAUGGCUGUUCGCCAUUUAAAGUGGUACGCGAGCUGGGUUUAGAACGUCGUGAGACAGUUCGGUCCCUAUCUGCCGUGGGCGCUGGAGAACUGAGGGGGGCUGCUCCUAGUACGAGAGGACCGGAGUGGACGCAUCACUGGUGUUCGGGUUGUCAUGCCAAUGGCACUGCCCGGUAGCUAAAUGCGGAAGAGAUAAGUGCUGAAAGCAUCUAAGCACGAAACUUGCCCCGAGAUGAGUUCUCCCUGACUCCUUGAGAGUCCUGAAGGAACGUUGAAGACGACGACGUUGAUAGGCCGGGUGUGUAAGCGCAGCGAUGCGUUGAGCUAACCGGUACUAAUGAACCGUGAGGCUUAACCUU
This 2904-nucleotide ribosomal RNA is filed under the name Escherichia coli. Its description in RNAcentral is "23S ribosomal RNA". It matches the Rfam family "Bacterial large subunit ribosomal RNA". The record is from RNAcentral. Lineage: Bacteria; Pseudomonadati; Pseudomonadota; Gammaproteobacteria; Enterobacterales; Enterobacteriaceae.